GUUAUAUAUGUUAACACCAGAGUAAAAAACAUAUAUUUUCCAAUAUGGGACUGGUAUGGAGUUUUCUGCAGUUGGUCUAUACAAUUGUGGCCAAUGCUACAGUAAGUGUUAUGCAUUUAUGUUAUUUAUGUUCUUUAGUUAUUUUGCAAUGAUAAUAUUGUUUUGUUAUGGAUGUAGUCUUCUUACGAUUAAGUCUCGUUUUAGUCUCGUUAAAGAAAUAUUUCCAAAACAUAUGAUAGAAGUAUAAAAUAUAAAUAAAAUAAAAUUAAUAAAUUUUAUAGUUAGACUUAAGUCUGUAUCAACAAUGAGUAGUUUUUGAGUAAUUAGUUUUUUAAAUGUUAAACCAAUCAAGUCAGUAUUUUUUCAACCGAUAUUUUGAGAAAAUGUAUGUGGGGUGCAUGUAAUGAUUUUACAAGAAACAUGUACAUUCCAUUCACUGGUUUCUUUUGAAUUUUCUUAUAUAAGUAACAUGCAGACAUCUUAUAUGUUCAGGUAUUGCAAAUCCAAUCUGUUAUGGUAAUAUUCUUUACAAAGCAAAAUGUCAAAUUUCACCUCAAAAGUUAACAAAACCUUUAAACAGACUUAUCAAUAAAGGAAAGAGUUACGAUACUGUUGUCAGGCCAUUAAAGAUUGAAUGUUUUGGCUUUAAUAUUGAUACACUUAUAGUAUCUUUGCAUCGGAUUUAAACUAAUUUAUUCUAAAACAAGUUGUUGGCACGACACGGGUUAUGUUCUUCUAAUUUAUUUCAUUAUUAUAUAAUACUAAACCUCUAACAGAAGGGAUUCUGCCUGAUAUUCAUCUGAUGAUGUCAUAAUCUUUCAAUCAGUUUUAUUCAGGUCUGUAGCUGCAUGUCAGUAACGCGCGUCUGGCGUUAAAUUUAAUCCUGGUACUUUGAUAACUAUAACAACUAGUAGUCUGUUCUUAUUUAUGUAUUAUUGUCAUUUUUGUUAAUUUCUUUGUUUUUUUUUAUUUUGACAUCGAACUCAGACUUCUCUUAAACGGAGUCUUACCGUGCGUAUUGUUUUUUCUACAUUUGCUAGAAGUAUAGGGGAGAAUUGAGAUCUAAAAAAACAUGUUUAACCCGCCGCAAAUUGAGCCUGUUCCAAGUCAGGAGCCUCUGGCCUUUGUUAGUCUUGUAUGAUUUUCAAUUUUAGUUUGUGGUGCAUAAUUUGGAGUUAAAUAUGACGUCCAUUAUAACUGAACUAGUAUACAUAUUUGUUUAGGGGCAAGCUGACAGACGCCUCCGGGAGCAGGAAUUUCUCGCUACAUAGAGGACCCAUGGCUGGCCUCCGGCUGUUGUGUCCUCUUGGUCGGGUUGUUGUGUCUUUGACACAUUCCCCAUUUCCUUUCUCAAUUUUAUUUCAAUUAUUGAUUAAAAAAGCAUCAACAUACGAUAAAAUUACUUAAUUAUGUUAACACCAUCCUAAAAUUAUUUUAAAUGAAAUUUGAUCAGAUUGGUUCACUUCAUAUUUUUAUUAAAAGUAUGUAAAAAAGUUAAAUUUUGGAACUUUAAUUUUUUUUAACGAUAAUACCCAAAAUAUGUAAAAAUUGAUGAAAAAUGUCAAAACUUUAAAAGGAAGGUACCAAACAAUAAAGUGCACCACAAUAUUAUUUUUUUCUUUACCAAUUAUUUGUUUACAGUUUUAAAAAUGCAAAAAUCAGGUUCAGAACAAAAGUUAAACUCUAGAAAUAGUUUGCUCCUCAGAGGUUUACAUUCUUAAGCAAUUCAUUGUAACAAUGCCAGACUCUUACUGAAGUACUGAACUUAUACAUUUCAAUGAAACGAAACUAUUGUUUUAUAGGGUGAUUUUUGUUAUUGUAUGUAGGUAACCCUGCUUCUAUUUACAUACUUUGAAUGAAGAUAUAUCAUGUAUAUUGUGUGCAUAAUUGGUUAUAAUUCCAAAUUCAUUUGAAAUUCUCUUCAGGAUCGCCUAGUUUUAAGGGCAUUCAACUUUUUUUUUCUUUGAAAGUUCAUUCUCUUUUUAAAACCCUUUUAGGUGUUAUCAUGCAUUGGGGUAUUGACUGCGAUUACGUACAAACGUUACUUUAACAAAAAAGAACAAGAAGAAACGUUUUCUGAAUUGAUAACAACAGAGAAAAAAAAAUCAGACGAAUAUAUAGAAAAGGCGAAAAAGGAGUUAAACGAUUUGAAAACAAACCUCGGAGAUGAAAUAAAAACUUAAAGAUGAUUUGCAAAGACAAGAAGAGGGCAAGACGGCUGAAUUGGAAAUAAUCAAGGAAAAAUUGACAGAAAAUGUGAGUAAGAAGUUAAUGGCUUUAUAUGAAAAGGAG
This 2292-nucleotide long non-coding RNA is filed under the name Mytilus galloprovincialis (Mediterranean mussel). Lineage: Eukaryota; Metazoa; Mollusca; Bivalvia; Mytilida; Mytilidae. The record is from RNAcentral.